GCUGCAGAAAUCAAGGCACAAUCAAUUACCAAUGGAGCAAUAUAACGAAGAGUUAGCUAUGAAAUUCCAAAGCUAUGAUAUUGAAAUGAGGUUAAUUGUAUUCUUUAUAUAGGCUUACUGAGGUCAGCUUUUCUUCUCUUUCGCGAGGAUGAAUCGUUUUCUUCA
Molecule: long non-coding RNA, 165 nt
Organism: Populus trichocarpa (black cottonwood)
Lineage: Eukaryota; Viridiplantae; Streptophyta; Magnoliopsida; Malpighiales; Salicaceae
Exons: 2
Source: RefSeq, a predicted model, not a curated record